Numida meleagris (helmeted guineafowl) is the source of this 2140-nucleotide long non-coding RNA. RefSeq lists it as uncharacterized. The transcript has 4 exons. NCBI's taxonomy places the organism in Eukaryota, Metazoa, Chordata, Aves, Galliformes, Numididae. The record is from RefSeq and is a predicted model, not a curated record.
GAUACAGAUCGGUUUAUUAGAGUACACAGAUUUAUUAUUCUCUGUGAACUAUGCAAAAGUGAAUUUGAUUCACAGAAAGACUUUCACUUUACUGAAUGUUUCAAAAAAUGAUGAGCAAAUACAGAAAAUUUUCAGGAGAUUCACACAGAUCUUCCACACUCCUUAUCUGUGACAAAGACUUGGCGUCCCACUCGCUCACUAUUUUUCCCCGUGUUAGCCUGGAUACUGGAGACUUGGAGAGCAGAGCUUGCUUGGGAGAUGCUACGUUUGUGAGUACCUAUGUCCUCGAGGCUUAAAAAUGGACAGAAGCUGCUUUUCCAUCACCUGCCUGCCUGCAGUGAGAUCUGUUCAGAGAAACCUCACAAGAACAAGCCUCAGCAAAGUAAACAAGAAGGGCUGGAAUAACCACUGUCUGAAGGAUAUGCCAGCACACACUAAAAUAUUUGCUAAUUGGAAAUAUAUUGUCCCACUGUGCUGUGAGCUCCAGCUCUGACUCACAAAAUAUCAGCUGGCUUCAGACUGAAUUUUGAGGUUGAUAACCUCAUCACAUGUGUACCAAAAGUGCCCAGAAGAAAGAAGGCUGCAGUGACACUGAGCACCGAUUUCUGCUUUCUGUUUCUGACCUGCUUUCAGCUGGGACAGAGUUGAUUUUCUUCGUAGUGUUUGGUAUGAUGUUAUGUUACGGAGUUUCGGCUUUAGGAGAAGAACAAUGUUGAGAACACACCAAUGCUUUAGAUGUUGCUGAGCAGUGGCUGCACAAAGCCAAGAACAUUUCAGUUUCUCAUCCCGCCAGUGAGGGGUGCCAGGCACAAGGAGCUGGGAGGGGACAGAACCAGGGCAGCUUCCCUGAUCUGGCCAAAGGGAUAUUCCAUACCAUAUGACAUCAUAAAAAAAACUGGGGGGAGUUGGCCAGGGAAGUCAGUCACUGCUCAGGGUCUGUUUGGGCAUCAGUUGGCAGGUGUCUUCUCCCCUCUCCCAUUGGGAGGGUGGGCAGUGAGCAAACUGCAUGGUGCUGAGCUGCUGCCAGAUUAAACCACCACAGACAGGAAUUUGGCCAGUGUGUGUGAAUUAUGCAUAAAAUCCACAGCAAGAUAGUUGCAUAAAACUGCAGUAUAACAAAGACUCAUCAUAGCAAUACACGUUAUCCAAGAGUUAUAUAGUUUUCUACACGGAGUCAAAGCAAAGAAGGAUUUGGAAGAAUUUACCAGAAAGCUGAUUAUAUAGUUUCUUGCCAAGAAGAAUCACAAGAGCAACCGGGGAGCAGAUGCUCAUUCCAGCUGAGACUCCCAGUGCUCUGCUAAGAGCUUCCUCCCUGCCUCCUCUGACUGUGCUGGCUCUGAGCAGACCCAGCAAACCCUGCUGGCCAACGACUGACCAUGUGAUGAAGGCAGCAGAUCUGUUCUGGUGACUUUAUUCUGUAUUUUAGGUGCAGUCUAAUCAUGCAGUAUUCCUCUUGCCUUGAGGUGAAUGCUGCAAGAUGGAUAUAGAUACGCACAGUGCACUGCUCUCCACUCAAGGGAAGACAUUUCACUGUUGUUUAAUCCCAUAUUAAUUGGACCCACUUCAAUAUCAAUUAAUUAUUUACCUGGAGACUCUUCAACAUGAGAAGGAAAUAUUCUGCCUUCCAUUAUGUACUUAUUAGCAAAUAGAUCAGAAAUGGGAUCUCCCUGAGUAAGCCUUCCCAGAGACAACUGUGCACAUCUCUGUUGGUGCAAGACUGAAAACAUGACCGAAGUAAGAGUCCCCUGAACAGAAGUUCCCAAAGGGCCAACAUCACAACCAUCACCAGGGCAUGACAGCAAGAAGCUAAACUAUCACUUCAGCACGUGGUGGGCGGUACCCAGGCUUCAGUACUGGUGUGCUCUCUGAUUCAGAAAGGAAGCAGUGGAGUCUGAAGAGAUGAACCUGGUGGGAGGAAGGGCCGUGCUGGUGCCAGGAUCUGCUGCCUCUCUCUCCUUUCUUUACAGAGAAUUUUAUUCACACACACAUUAGAGACUUUACCGCUGCUCUGGGAGCAUAAUAGCAUCUUAAAGUGGGUGGAUAUCACUGUUCCACCAAUUUAAAAUCAUUUUUGAUUGUCAGAGUGGUAUAAAGGAGUAAAUAAAGUGUGGUAGUAAUUUGAUCUCGUAUCCGUAGGGGG